Lolium perenne is the source of this 2177-nucleotide long non-coding RNA. RefSeq lists it as uncharacterized. The record is from RefSeq and is a predicted model, not a curated record. NCBI's taxonomy places the organism in Eukaryota, Viridiplantae, Streptophyta, Magnoliopsida, Poales, Poaceae.
UGUUCCUUAUUCUGCCUAGUACGUCUAGAUUUUUGGUCGUCCGUCCGACGUCCUUCGUCUUCGUUCGAAACCGCCCCCGCCCGCAGGCCUUGACUCCCUUUCUUUUCCCCAAAAAUCAGCAAUUCCUUCCCCUCGCCCCCAAUUGCGCUUCCCUUUUUCUCAUCCAUCACUAGCGAUCUCACCCAAACAAAUAUACAAAAUCUCACCCUGACCACAUCUGCCUCAGCAGCACUGGCGACUCCCAUCGCCCUCACCGCGACUCGCCUCCCCCACAUCGCCGCCAGGCAUGCAAGGCCUGGUGGGCAUGGACAUGUCCAACAGCACGGUAAGAUCCGUUUGGUCGAUGGACGGCAGAAGUAAAACAUACGGCGAGGCGCUCUGCUACCGGUACAGAGGCGUCGGGCGGCUGGCGUGGGGAGGUGGAAUAAUCAUGGGAACGUUCCUUUGCCUCCCGAUCUUCGUCCCUGGGCAAUUUCUAGCUACUGUUUCCGAUGAUGCAACCCACCGCCGCCGCCAGCAUGUUCACCUCAUGCUCGCCCUCCUUCCAAUCCAUCUAGAUUCCCACCGUCCUCUUCUUCUCCAGCCCGUCCAGGUGAAGGAGGCAGCAGCUCAACCAACGCCGUCGAUUCUCCGACAGCAGUGCUCCGCAGGUGUCCCUCCCGCCAGCAGCACCCAAGAGGCCAAGACCAACGACGGCAUCCCUCCCGACAGUAGUUCUUCCAUCCACGAUGGCUGCUACGGCUAUUGGUUCAUCUCAGGUUGCAACUUCUAAACUAAAAAGGAAUUCAGAUGAUAUGGGUUGGGAAUUUGCUGUGCUGAUCGAUCCCAAUGAUCCGCAAAGAGUCAAGUGCAAGCUUUGUGGAAAAUAAAUGUCGGGAGGGGUGAUCCGGAUGAAGGAACACAUUGCUCAGAGGCUCAGUGACACCUUGUUUGCAUGACACACCAGAUCAGCAAGCUCGUUCUGAGAUUUCUCAUAUUGUUUCUGGACAUGCACACUCUCUCCGCUAAGGCUGUGAUGUUCUCAAUUUUCAUGUGGCUACCACUAUUUUUAAUGAAUGGCGGUGAUCUAUCAUUUAUUUGAUUGUAAAGAGCUAGAAAUGUAUUAUUUGCAAAAGUUUUUAUAGCUUUAUCAUUCUAGCCUCCUCUCUACAAUGAAUCCCUCGAGCCGAAGGACUACUUUUCUCUCCAUGUGAGUCGCUAUUUUAGAUUUGGAUUUUUUCUAGAUGUAUAGAGAUGUACAUUCUGGUUUGGCAAUGUAGAUUUAGUCGGUGUUUUGAUGAGAGAUGUAUAUAAGCGAUACCUACUAUUGCGCUUUGUGAAAGAUGCGUGACAAAGGUUCUCCAGGUUGCUGCUAUUGUGGUUUGUGAAAUAUAUCUUCUUGCCAACCUAUAAUCGACUACUUACUAUGACAUCUUGCAAUGAUUCAUUUCUUUUACAUGUAGUUAAGCUUUUAGCUGUAGUCAAAUCGGCCAUGUCAUACUAUUUUUCUUGACAUAUCCAGGAGGUGGCGAAUGCUUCAGGUUUUAUUAUUGUGUGCCAUUGAACAAUGGAAAUGGAAUUUUGGUUUUGUGAUGAUCUGGUUGGAGCGUUAGUAGUCAAGUUUGUAAGCGGGUAAUAAAUUAAUGGAGGGCAACAGACAAAUUAUAACUAUAGUUACAUUAAAAGAUGAAGAUGAUUGAGUCGAAAUGUAAUAUAUAUUUCGUAAAUACGUUGCAAUAACCAGAGUAUGAUAUUGUGAAUCAAUCUAUUUGAACAAGCUAUUCUGUGUGCUUCAUCCUAUCCCCACUCGCUGUAUAGCUACCCGCUGACCCUGGAAGCUGCAACGCGUGAUGCUGCUCGACAGCAUCUCGAGUGUAUGGAGCAAAUUGAGAUGAAAGUGUCUUCAACUUUCAAAGAUGUUGAUUUGGAGAAGGGGAGAGUGGAACUUCUCCAUCAUCAGCUGGAGAAGAAGAAUGAGAAGCUAAUACAAUGUUUCUCAUUCUUCAUCCUGGGCAAUGAUCUUUCUAUGUACUAUCCGGUGUUUGACUAUAUGUGUAAUAAGUGACGGCUAUCUCUUCUAUGAGCCUUCACGGGUGCUUGCCUGGUGUUUGCUUUUCUUGAACAUCGUGUGGUGUUUGCUUUUCCUUGAACAUCGUGUAUCUGGUAACUGUUAUCGGUAUUGUGGUCGAAUAGACUUC